CGGAACGUGCCCAGUCGUGGGGGAUAACGCACCGAAAGCUGUGCUAAUACCGCAUACGAUCUACGGAUGAAAGCGGGGGAUCGCAAGACCUCGCGCGAUUGGAGCGGCUGAUAUCAGAUUAGCUAGUUGGUGGGGUAAAGGCCUACCAAGGCGACGAUCUGUAGCUGGUCUGAGAGGACGACCAGCCACACUGGAACUGAGACACGGGCCAGACUCCUACGGGAGGCAGCAGUGGGGAAUUUUGGACAAUGGGCGCGUGCCUGAUGCAGCAAUGAUUGCGUGAAGGAUGAAGGCGUUCGGGUUGUAAAGUGUUUUUGUACGGAACGAAAA
RNAcentral lists this ribosomal RNA (330 nucleotides) under Comamonadaceae bacterium. RNAcentral describes it as "bacterial SSU rRNA". It matches the Rfam family "Bacterial small subunit ribosomal RNA", at positions 119 to 451 of the family's 1533-position model. The record is from RNAcentral. Lineage: Bacteria; Pseudomonadati; Pseudomonadota; Betaproteobacteria; Burkholderiales; Comamonadaceae.